CAGCAUUACUGUGUGAGCUCCGCCUCCCGUCCGAACAUUAUUGUGUGAGCUCCGCCUCCCGUCAGAUCAUUACUGUGUGAGCUCCGCCUCCCGUCACAGCAUUACUGUGUGAGCUCUGCCUCCUGUCCAAGUAUUACUGUGUGAGCUUCGCCCCCUGUCAUCAUUACUGGUGCACAGCCAGAGAACAACACAUCACACACAGGAAACAGUUGUGCUCAUGUGAUGGGGGCCUCAGCACUAGGAAGGAGUGGACUAUUGGCACACGCAGCAGCUUGAAUAAAUCUGAAAGUCACUACGCUGCAUAAGAGAAGCCAAAUUUUAAAAGUGCAUACUGUGUACAGAGGGUGUCGAGAAUGCCUCCUACGUGACGGAAAGCAGAUCUGUGGUUCCCUGCAGACUGGCAGGAGCAGAUUCCAAAGGCACAGGAAGAAGCUUGUGGGUAGAGUGUGUUCAUUAUCUUCUGUGCAUUACACCAUAAAAAAGCUGGUCAUAAAAAUGCGAACCAAAAACAAAGGUGAAACUAGGAUAAAAUUUCUCACCUGUGUGAUUGGUAAAUGUGCAGGUUUGACAUCAUGCUUUGUUUAUGAAGCUGUGGGAUACAAGGACUCUCAUACGUCACUGUGGAAUGCAGAACAUUGCAACCUCAUGGAAGAGGAUUUGGCAGCAUCUAACAAAAGUAUGUGGCAUUUGCCCUUUGGCUCAGCAAUUCUAGACUCUGCCUCAAAAAAAACUCUGGCAAAAAACUGAAAGGACUUUACUCACAGAAUUCUUUUCACGCCUAA
RNAcentral lists this long non-coding RNA (782 nucleotides) under Pan troglodytes (chimpanzee). Its description in RNAcentral is "long non-coding RNA NONPTRT013355". Lineage: Eukaryota; Metazoa; Chordata; Mammalia; Primates; Hominidae. The record is from RNAcentral.